RNAcentral lists this ribosomal RNA (516 nucleotides) under uncultured bacterium. Its description in RNAcentral is "bacterial SSU rRNA". It matches the Rfam family "Bacterial small subunit ribosomal RNA", at positions 32 to 524 of the family's 1533-position model. The record is from RNAcentral.
AAUCAACGCUGGCGGCGUGCCUCAGACAUGCAAGUCGAACGCGAAAGUUCCCUUCGGGGGAUAAGUAGAGUGGCGUCCGGGUGAGUAACACGUAGGUAAUCUACCUUUGGGUGGGGAAUAACAACCGGAAACGGUUGCUAAUACCGCAUAAUGCAGCGGCACCACAUGGUGACAGUUGUUAAAGCGGGGGAUCGCAAGACCUCGCGCCUAAAGAGGAGCCUGCGGCGGAUUAGCUAGNGGUAGGGUAACGGCCUACCAAGGCAACGAUCCGUAGCCGGCCUGAGAGGGCGGUCGGCCACACUGACACUGAAAUACGGGUCAGACUCCUACGGGAGGCAGCAGUCGGGAAUUUUGGGCAAUGGGCGAAAGCCUGACCCAGCAACGCCGCGUGAAGGAUGAAAUCCCUCGGGAUGUAAACUUCGCAAGAACAGGAAGAAUAAGUAGGGGACAAUACCCCCUAUGAUGACGGUACUGUUUGUAAGCUCCGGCUAACUCCGUGCCAGCCGCCGCCGUAAC